GAGGGAGACACCUUUGCAGAUGGAGAGUUCCUUUACAAACAUAAAUGUCUCUUACAAAGGAUGCUUCUCUCUCCUGCCUGUUCUGCCCUUGAGACACAAUAAUGUGUGGCGCACAGCACUGCGGCAGCAUCAGGGACUCGCACGGUGCCCAGAGCUGACAGACUGUCCUGAAUAAUGGCUGCAGCCUUCCCAAAGCACUAUGGGGACCUCCAUCUAUACUGCACCAGACAACAAUGACCCCUAACCCCACAAUACAUCUUGUUCAUCAUUCACAUGAAGAAGAUUGCUUAUUUUUUGAUCAACACAAAUAUUUUAUCUUCUAUCUCUUCUAUCAGAACUGACAAGAUUAGUGUAUUGGAGGCAUAGCUAUUCUGGCUUCUAACAACAGAGUGAGGAGGCGCAUACAAAAUCCUGUACCGUGGGGCUGCUCACUCCAAAAUAGUUGGGAAUCAAGUUUCAGAUGGGAAUCAAGCCAUCAACUAAUGCAUCGCGCUGGUUUAUAGGACUCUUGAGUUAUAGACAUAGCAUGAAAACUCUGGAGAACUGCAGCUAAGAAGAAUGGAGAAGGUCUAAAUUGAUGUUCCGAGCAUAUUUAGAGGCAUAGAACCUAUUGGGAAAAGUCUAAAGGGAAAGGGAACGUGCAGGAACCUAAAGUCUGAGCAGAUCAAUGAGCUGGAAUUUAAGUCAAUAGGAAAGGUGAAAACGACAGUCAAU
Molecule: long non-coding RNA, 714 nt
Filed under: Equus caballus (horse)
Lineage: Eukaryota; Metazoa; Chordata; Mammalia; Perissodactyla; Equidae
Description: lncRNA (ENSECAG00000054789.1)
Source: RNAcentral